AGCGAACGCUGGCGGCAGGCUUAACACAUGCAAGUCGAACGGGCACUUCGGUGCUAGUGGCAGACGGGUGAGUAACACGUGGGAACGUACCUUUCGGUUCGGAAUAAUACAGGGGAAACUUGUACUAAUACCGGAUACGCCCUUCGGGGAAGAUUUAUCGCCGAUAGAUCGGCCCGCGUCUGAUUAGCUAGUUGGUGAGGUAAUGGCUCACCAAGGCGACGAUCAGUAGCUGGUCUGAGAGGAUGAUCAGCCACACUGGGACUGAGACACGGCCCAGACUCCUACGGGAGGCAGCAGUGGGGAAUAUUGGACAAUGGGCGAAAGCCUGAUCCAGCCAUGCCGCGUGUGUGAUGAAGGCCUUAGGGUUGUAAAGCACUUUGUCCGGGACGAUGAUGACGGUACCUGCAGAAUAAGCCCCGGCUAACUUCGUGCCAGCAGCCGCGGUAAU
This 448-nucleotide ribosomal RNA is filed under the name uncultured bacterium. RNAcentral describes it as "bacterial SSU rRNA". It matches the Rfam family "Bacterial small subunit ribosomal RNA", at positions 29 to 524 of the family's 1533-position model. The record is from RNAcentral.